RNAcentral lists this transfer RNA (73 nucleotides) under Deltaproteobacteria bacterium RIFCSPHIGHO2_02_FULL_40_28. Its description in RNAcentral is "tRNA-Trp". It matches the Rfam family "tRNA". Rfam says of the family: Transfer RNA (tRNA) molecules are approximately 80 nucleotides in length. Their secondary structure includes four short double-helical elements and three loops (D, anti-codon, and T loops). Lineage: Bacteria; Deltaproteobacteria. The record is from RNAcentral. RNAcentral also lists the same sequence under 3 other names.
AGGGGAGUAGCUCAGCUGGUAGAGCGGCGGUCUCCAAAACCGUAGGUCGCAGGUUCGAUCCCUGUCUCCCCUG